UUUCUCGUUUGUAAAAGUUCUCUACAGUUAUAUAAAAAUCGUUUAGUUUUAAACUGCAGCCAAGAGAAAGGAACUCAAACUGUGGGGGAAUUUUCCUAAGAGACUCGAGUAACAGCUAGAUUCAAUUUGAUUCAAUCCCUACCUCUGUGUUCCAGGUUGCUUGUCUUUAUAAAUCUACCGCUUUUGUCUCUUUCGUACCGGCUGUUAUACAUGUCUAACGCAGAUAGGAAGGUCCCUCACGGGAAGACAGAUCGAGAUCGUGCGCGUGAACAAGACAGCUCUCCAGGUUUGAAAACACUAGGUCUAAACAUCAGCACUUUUCUAC
Non-coding RNA from Pocillopora verrucosa, 325 nucleotides. The record is from RefSeq and is a predicted model, not a curated record. NCBI's taxonomy places the organism in Eukaryota, Metazoa, Cnidaria, Anthozoa, Scleractinia, Pocilloporidae.